CUUUGAGCUCUCUUCUCUUAUCACUGUCGGCCUCUUUCUUCUCAAUUUCAACUCGCUCUUCCGCUGACUGUCUGGUUGUAUCGGCUCGUCUCGGCAGCUGGAAGUAGGAGUCAUCAGAGUCUGCUCUUUCUUUGCUGUCAUCUCGUGCUUCUCUUCCAGGUUGAUCGUCUGUGUGCGUAUAUCCGAGCCUUCUUCCUUCAUCAGCGUCGACUAUGUGCUGAACUUGAACCAUUACUACUGCACUCAAGUUUGAGUUGGGUUGAAUUCUUCUUUUAUCUUUUGGGGUAGUCUAUGAACUAAGGAGAGCCUGUUAUUUCUGCACUUCUAUUCAAGAUAUUGUAGUUGACCCUGCACCACCAGUAGAUCGUUGAAGGGCCUUUUUGCUUAUUGGAAAGAGGAAGCCUAUUGUGACUAUUAUUGUGGCUUUAGCUCUGGUGCUGAGAGGGAGUGUCGCACCUGAAAAUGCAAUGCGGACGACACGAGAGCGGAGGUUCUGGCCUUCAAAAAGAAGACCGAAGAAAUAGGAGUCGCCACCAAAAUUUUGAGAAAAAUCUUGGAAAACCGUUUAACACCACAAGGAUGGUAUGCGAAAUCAGAGAAUAGGUUUGAGAGUCGGUUAAAUGUGGGGAAGGUGUUAGGCACCCCACAACACCCGUUCAUGAGAACGGUUACCUAAAGUUUGUUGUGCUAUAUUAAUAUAGUUUUAAAAUUAUUUUAAUUAUCCCUUUUAUAUUCAUGUGU
This is a long non-coding RNA of Prosopis cineraria, 741 nucleotides long. RefSeq lists it as uncharacterized. The record is from RefSeq and is a predicted model, not a curated record. Lineage: Eukaryota; Viridiplantae; Streptophyta; Magnoliopsida; Fabales; Fabaceae. The transcript is spliced from 4 exons.